GCGAAUGUAGCUCAGUUGGUAGAGCGCCAGCUUCCCAAGCUGGAUGUCGCGGGUUCGAAUCCCGUCAUUCGCU
RNAcentral lists this transfer RNA (73 nucleotides) under bacterium. Its description in RNAcentral is "tRNA-Gly". It matches the Rfam family "tRNA". From Rfam's summary of the family: Transfer RNA (tRNA) molecules are approximately 80 nucleotides in length. Their secondary structure includes four short double-helical elements and three loops (D, anti-codon, and T loops). RNAcentral also lists the same sequence under 2 other names. The record is from RNAcentral.